UACGUAGGGGGCAAGCGUUGUCCGGAUUUAUUGGGCGUAAAGAGCGUGUAGGCGGCCAGGUAGGUCAGCUGUGAAAACUCGAGGCUCAACCUCGAGACGCCGGUUGAAACCAUCUGGCUAGAGUCCGGAAGAGGAGAGUGGAAUUCCUGGUGUAGCGGUGAAAUGCGCAGAUAUCAGGAAGAACACCCGUGGCUAAGGCGGCUCUCUAGUACGGUACUGACGCCGAGGAGCGAAAGCGUGGGGAGCGAACAGG
RNAcentral lists this ribosomal RNA (253 nucleotides) under uncultured bacterium. RNAcentral describes it as "partial 16S ribosomal RNA". It matches the Rfam family "Bacterial small subunit ribosomal RNA", at positions 524 to 776 of the family's 1533-position model. The record is from RNAcentral.